UCCACCAAUGAACUUGGCGCUUAGGAGC
RNAcentral lists this small RNA (28 nucleotides) under Bombyx mori (domestic silkworm). Its description in RNAcentral is "ovarian small RNA-3298". Lineage: Eukaryota; Metazoa; Arthropoda; Insecta; Lepidoptera; Bombycidae. The record is from RNAcentral.